GGGAUCGGAAUGUGGCUCAAGUUGGGAGGCGUUACCUGCGGAGGGUUUGAGGCACGCCCAGGAGCGAGCCCACGGUCGGCCGACGCGGGGCCAGGGGCGGGCCCCAGGAUCCGGAGCUUCGGGCGGGGCCGAGUCUGGGUUUGGGGCCCGGGAGGCGGGGCCAGUUAGGGCGAGGGUCCCUGGGAUCGUCGGGUCAGGCCUUGGGCUAACGUAGACACUCUCGCAGUACCUCCGCCUUCAGGAAGGUCUUUUUAGCAGGGGCCUUACAGGUGCACGCUUCGGUCCUGGAGGCCUUAUCCUAACCUCUCCAUCAGCGCCACCCGUCUGGGGCCCGAAAGGAGGGAGCUUUCCCUCUGUCCUCCAGCCUUUGGACUGUCUCCAAACAAGCCAUUCGUUCACCAAAUACUUAUUAAGCACCUACCAUGUGCCUGACAAGGGAGAUGUAACGCUGUUGUUCCCCACCAGAACCAAAUGAGCGCAAGAUCUGACAAAGAAAAAAAAGGUUCAUCUUUUAUUCCCCCAAACACUUUCAUUUAAAUCAAGAGGAUGGGAUGUGGUUAUUGCUGUGUUUUUAGACAGAAUCAACGGUUUCUGUGUCUGAGAUGUUGCAUACACCCUCUCAGUCCCUCUAUCCUGAGAUGGAGUCACCUGAGGAUCCACAGCAAGUCCUAACCAGGGAUGGGUCUGGGUGAUUAAGGAAGGUUGGCUUCAGAACUGGGCCAGGGGCACUGCUUUGCUUUUGCUGUUUUGAUCAGCUCUCUGCCUGCAGGAGACAAGGAAAACCAAUGGGAACAGAUAGGGUCUCUCUCUCUGCCACCCAGGCCAGAGUGCAGUUGACGCAGGGCAGGGGAGCCCCGAAGUGGAGCAUAGUGUGUCCGGAACUGGUGGGUUCUUGGUCUCACUGACUUCAAGAAUGAAGCCGUGGACCCUCACGGUUCAAGCGAUUCUCCUGCCUCAGCCUCC
Molecule: long non-coding RNA, 963 nt
Filed under: Homo sapiens (human)
Lineage: Eukaryota; Metazoa; Chordata; Mammalia; Primates; Hominidae
Description: HSALNT0312602
Source: RNAcentral